GGGACAACCCGGCAACACAGGCGGGGAUUUCCCGAAGGAGGAGAAGCUGGGCCGCCUCGGGCCGGGCAGGACGGUGGGGAAGUGAGGCGGAUAUCCCGAAACCCAGCUGGGAUGGACGCAUAGGCGACGAGGCCAGCUCCCCUCGGGGAUGGAUACCUGGGGACGCCUGUUUUCAGAGCAGCCUUGUUCUGUACAGCCGAGGAAAGUGAAACCACAGACAGCAGGGGACGACUGUACUGAUUGCUACACGCAGAAGUGGACUGGUGGGAUGCCUACCUCUUUCACGUGCAUCAGUUCCCCUCCCUUCCCUUUUCUUUUAUUAUAAAAAUAUAACAUUUUUCUCAUAUCUUUUCUUCAUCUGUUUAUUCUAAAGUUAUCUGUAUGAGGCCUUCCUUAGCCACGUUAUGUAAAAUUUCAAAACUAUUCCACUUCACAUCCUUACUUCCAUACUUUACUUUUUCCUUACCACUUAUCACUAAGAUAUAUUUUGCUUACUGUCUGUCAUUCCGAUUUUAAUUUAAGCUCCCCAGGGCAAAAAUAUUUGUCUUAUUUACCAUUAUAUUCCCAGUGCCAGAACAAUGCUAGCACAUAGUAAGUGGUCAAUAAAAACUUGUUGUAUUACCGAAA
This is a long non-coding RNA of Pteropus alecto (black flying fox), 627 nucleotides long. RefSeq lists it as uncharacterized. Lineage: Eukaryota; Metazoa; Chordata; Mammalia; Chiroptera; Pteropodidae. The record is from RefSeq and is a predicted model, not a curated record. The transcript has 2 exons.